This 106-nucleotide small nuclear RNA is filed under the name Fusarium poae. The record is from RNAcentral. Lineage: Eukaryota; Fungi; Ascomycota; Sordariomycetes; Hypocreales; Nectriaceae.
UGUCUCUUCGGAGGCUCUAUGGUCAAUUCGUAAAAAUACAGAGAAGAUUAGCAUGGCCCCUGGACUAAGGAUGACACAUUCGAAUCAAGAGAAGCUAGACUUUUUU